RNAcentral lists this long non-coding RNA (1073 nucleotides) under Struthio camelus australis. RNAcentral's name for it is "lncRNA (ENSSCUG00000002302.1)". The record is from RNAcentral. Lineage: Eukaryota; Metazoa; Chordata; Aves; Struthioniformes; Struthionidae.
AGAUGGGGACCAGUGCAGGUGACUGGUGUGAGAGAUGGGGAGCGGUGUGAGAGAUGGGGAGCGGUGCAGGUGGCUGGUGUGAGAGAUGGGGAGCGGUGCGGGAGAUGGGGACCAGUGCAGGAGAUGGAGACCAGUGUGAGAGAUGGGGACCAGUGUGGGUGAUGAGAACUGGUGCGGGCAAUGGGUGCAGGUGACGAGGACCAGUGCAGGCAAUGGGUGCGGGUGACCAAGACCGGUGUCGGAGAUGGGGACCAGUGGCAAGUGAUGGGUGCAGGAGAUGCAGACUGAUGUGGAAGAUGGGGACUGAUGUGGGUGAGGAGGACCGGUGCAGGGGAUGGGACCAGUACUGGUGAUAGGUGCGGGUAACAAGGACCAGUGCGGAGGUUGGGACUGGUGCGGGUGAUGGGUGCAGGAGCCAAGGACCGGUGUGGGAGAUGAGGACCAGUGCGAGAGAUGGGGACCAGUGCAGGUGACAGGGACCAGUGCGGGUGGUGGGGACUGGUGUGGGAGACAGGGACUGGUGUGGGUGAAGGGGACCGAUGCAAAUGAUGGGAACUGAUGCAGGCGACAGGGACCAGUGUGGGAGACGGGACUGGUGGGAGCGAAAGGGACUGACACAGGUAACGAGGACUGGUGCGGGUGACAGAGACAGGUGCGAGUGACGGGGACCAGUGUGGGAGGUGGGGCCUGGCGCGGGCGACUGGGAGCAGUGUGGGAGCUAGGGACCAGUGCAGGUGACAACUUUGUGCGCUGCCCUGGCAGAUGUGGACACUGACAGCCGUUUAUUGAAUUCUGCCCCUUCCGCUUACUCCUCAGUUCUGGAUUGUUUUAUUCUGCUAGAACCUGCUUAUAUUAAACAUAUAUAUGUCUUAAAUAUACAUAUUAAAUAUCUAUAGAAAACAGUAUUCCUUGCUCGUUAGGAUAGGAAUUGCUCUUACAAAUUGCCCCGACCCUGUAACAGCGGCAGCGGAGCAGGCCUGGCAUGUAUGCAAAGGUCUGUUGACAGAAGGAGCGCGAGGCUUCCUGCCUCCUUGUGGAGUGUUGUCUAUAAAGUAUUGUACUCUUUUUUUAUU